GGGAGUUCUGCCAGUGGACUGCAGAGCGCCGACAUCGACCCUGCCCUGGUUCUCCAGCCUGCCGCCUACCCUCCCAACCGCAACAAUUUCCUGCCAUCUGCAAGCCGGAGACCCAGGAAAACUGGUGGUGUAAAUCAGUUGGUGUCCCAAGGCCCGAGAACCAUGGAAGCCCAGGGCAGAAGACAGAUUCCCCAGCUCAAGCAACUGGACUUGCCUCAUGGGUGUGUCGUGGUGGAAAUAAAAGUGUAAAGGCAAUAAUGCCAAAUGAUGACACUCAACCCUGAAAUAGGCAGGCCAUGAGGCAUGUGGGAUCUUAGCUCCCUGACCAGGGAUAGAACCCACACUCCCUGCAUUGGAAGGUGAAGUCUUAACCACUGGACCACCAGGGAAGUCCCCACCAAAUCAUUCUUAAGCUAUGGGCUCUGAAGAAAAAGUAUAGGAGGCUUAAAUUGAGUCAUUUUUUUUGAGGAAGGAAGGAACUAAAGAAAGGAGGAAGGAUCCAGUGUGGGCGGAGACAAGAUGGCAAAGUAGAAAGACAUGAGCUCACCUCUUCCUACAGAAACACCCAAAUCACAACUAACUGCUGAACAACCAUUGACAAAAAAAUGCUGGAACCUACCAGAAAGGAUAACCUACAUCCAAAGACAAAGGAGAAGCCACAGUGAGACAGUAGGAAGGGUAUAACCAUGAUAAAAUCAAAUCCCAUACCUGGGGGGGUGGGCAACCCACAAACUGGAAAAUAAUUAAACCACAGAAAUUCUCCGACAGGAGUGCAAGUUCUGGGCACCACGUCAGGCACCCCAGCCUGUGGGUCUGGCAAUGGUAGGAGGAGCCUCCAGAGAAUGUGGCUUUGAAGGCCAGCAGGGUAAGAUUUCAGGAAUUCCACAGGAUUGGGGGAAAGAGAAACUCUACUCUUGGAGGGUGCACACAGGGUCUUGUGGGCACCAGGACCCAGAGAAAAAAGGGGUGACCUCAUAAGAGACUGGGUCAGACCUACCCGCUAGUAUUGGAGGGUCUCCUGUGGAGAUGGGGGUGGCUCUGGCACAGUGUGGGGACACUGGUGGCAGUAGUUCUGGAGAGUACUCAUUGGCAUGAGCCCUCCUAGAGGCCACCCCUUCUCACCAAGACCUGUCCCCACCCAACAGCCUGUAGGCUCCAGUGCUGGGAUGCCUCAGGCCAAACAACCAACAGGGCAGGAACACAGCCCUACCCUUCAUCAGACAGGCUGCUUGAAGUCUUCCUGAGCAUACAGCUGCCCAAUAAACACCCUGUAAUAUGGCCCUACCUGCUGGAGGGACAGACCCAGCUCCACCCACCGGUGGACAGGAACCAGUCCUUUCCACAAGGGGGCAGACAGCAGAAGCACAAAGAAAUACAACCCUGCAGAAUGGAAACUGCAAUCAGAAAGUUAGUUAGACAAAAUGAGACAGCAGAGGAAUAUGUCCUAGAGGAAGGAACAAGAUAAAACCUCAGAAGGGCAACUAAGUGGAGUGGAGAUAGGCAAUCUACCUGAAACAGAUUCAGAGUUAUGAUAGUAAAGAUGCUCUAAGAUCUCAAAAAAGAAUGAAGGUACAGAUUGAGAAGAUGCAAGAAAUGUCUAACAAAGAACUAGAAGAUAUAAAGAACAAACAAACAGGGAUGAACAAUACAAUAACUGAAAUGAAGAAUACACUAGAAGGCAUCAAUAGCAGAAUAACUGAGGCAGAAGAACGGAUAAGUGACCUGGAAGACAGAAUGGUGGAAAUCACUGCUGCAGAACAGAAUAAACAUAAAAGAAUGAAAAGAAAUGAGGACAGUCUAAGAGGCCUCUGGGACAACAUUAAAUGCACCAACAUUUGCAUUAUAGGGGUCUUAGAAGGAGAAGAGAAAGAGAAAAUAUUUGAAGAGAUAAUACUGAAAACUUUCCUAACAUGGGAAGAAUAACAGUCACCCAAGUCCAGGAAGCAGAGUCCCUGAUAGAAUAAACCCGAGGAGAAACAUGCCGAGACACAUAGGAAUCAAAUUGACAAAAAUUAAAGACAAAGUAUUAAAACCAACAAGGGAAAAGCACAAACAUACAAGGGAAUCCCCAUACGAUCAUCAGCUGAUUUCUCAGCAGGAACUCUGCAGGCCAGAAGGCAGUGCAUGAAAUAUUUAAAGUGAUAAAAGGGAAGAACCUACAACCAAGAAUACUGUACCUAGCAAGGCUCUCCUUCAGAUUCGACAGAUAAAUCAAAAGCUUUACAGACAAGCAAAAGCUAAGAGAAUUCAGCACUACCCAACCAGCUUUGCAACAAAUGCUAAAGGAACUUCUCUAGGCAGAAAAGAAAAGGCCACAAUUAGAAACAAGAAAAUUACGAAUGGAAAAGCUCACUGGUAAAGGCAGAUAUACAGUAAAGGUAGCAAAUCAUUUUCACACAAAUAUGAUAUCAAAAACAGCAACUGUGAGAAGAGGAGAGCACAAAUGCAGGAUAUUGUAAAUGCAUUUGAAAUUAAAAGACCAGCAACUUAAAAACAAUCUUGUUUAUAUAUAGACUGCUAUAGCAAAACCCCAUGGUAACCACAAGCUGAAUAUAUACAAUAGAUACACACACAAAAAAGAAAAAAAAUCCAAACACAACACUAAGGUUAGUCCUCAAAUCACAAAAGAAGAGAACAAAGGAGGAAGGGAAGAAAAAAGACCUACAAAAACAAAUCCAAAACAAUUAACCAAGUGGCAAUAAGAACAUACAUAUCAACAAUUACCUUAAACAUAAACAGAUUAAAUGCUCCAACCAAAAGACAUAGACUGGCUGAAUGGAUACAAAACAAGACCCGUAUACAUGUUGUCUAUAAGACACCCACUUCAGACCUAGGGACACAUACAGACUGAAAGUGAGGGGAUGGAAAAAGGUAUUCCAUGCAAGUAGAAAUCAAAAGAAAGCUGGAGUAGCAAUACUCAUAUCAGACAAAGUAGACUUUAAAAUAAAGACUGUUACAAGAGACAAAGAAGGACACAAGAUAAUGAUCAAGGGAUCAAUCCAAGAAGAAGAUAUAACAUUUGUAAAUAUAUAUGCACCCAACAUAGCAUUUGCCUAAUAUACUGAGGUGCUCCUAACAGCCAUAAAAAAGAAACUGACAGUAACACAAUAAUAAUGGGGGACUCUCACACCCCACUUUCAUCAAUGGACAGAUCAUCCAGACAGAAAAUCAUUACGGAAACACAGGCCUUAAAUGACACAUUAGACCAGAUGGAUUAACUGAUAUUUAUAGAUCAUUCCAUCCAAAAGCAGCAGAAUACAUAUUCUUUUCAAGUGCACAUGGAACAUUAUCCAAGAUUGAUCACAUGCUGGGCCAAAAAGCGAGCCUCGGUAAAUUUAAGAAAAUUGAAAUCAUAUCAAGCAUCUUUUCUGACCACAACACUAUGAGAUUAGAAAUCAACUACAAGGAAAAAAAACACAAACAUGUGGAGGCUAAACAAUACGCUACUAAAUAACCAAGGGAUCACUGAAGAAAUCAGAGGAAAUCAAAAAAUACCUAGAGACAAAUGAAAAUGAAACCACGAAGACCUGAAACAUAUGGGACACAGCAAAAGCAGUUCUAAGAGGGAAGUUUAUAGCAAUACAGUCUUACUUCAGGAAAAACCUCAAAUAAACAACUUAACCUUACACUUAAAGCAACUAGAGAAAGGAGAACAAACAAAACCCAAAGUUAGUAGAAGGAAAGAAAUCAUAAAGAUCAGAGCAGAAGUCAAUGAAAUAGAGAUGAAGAAAACAAUAGAAAAGAUCAAUGAAAUUAAAAGCUAGUUCUUUGAGAAGAUAAACAAAAUUGAUAAACCUUUAGCCAGACUCAUUAAGAAAAAGAGGGAGAGAGCUCAAAACAAUAAAAUUAGAAAUGAAAAAGGAAAAGUUAUGACACCACAGAAAUAAAGAAUCAUAAGAGACUACUUACAAGCAACUAUAUGCCAAUAAAAGGAAAACCUAGAAGAAAUGGACAAAUUCUUGGAAAGGUAUAACCUCCCAAGACUGAACCAGGAAGAAAUAGAAAAUACGAACAGACCAAUCACAAGUAAUGAUAUUGAAACUGUAAUUAAAAAUCUUCCAACAAACAAAAGUCCAAGACCAGAUGGCUUCACAGGUGAAUUCUAUCAAACACUUAGAAAAGAGUUAAUACCUAUCCUUGUGAAACUAUUCCAAAAAAUUUCAGGGGAAGGAACACUCCCAAAUUCAUUCUAUGAGGCCACCAUCACCCUGACACCAAAUCCAGACAAAGAUACCACAGAAAAUAAAAUUACAGGCCAAUAUCCCUGAUGAUCAUAGACACAAAAAUCUUCAACAAAAUACUAGCAAACGAAAUCCAACAAUAUGUUAAAAGAAUCAUGCACCAUGAUCAAGUGGGAUUUAUCCCAGGAAUGCAAGGAUUCUUCAAUAUAUGCAAAUCAGUCAAUGUGAUACACCACAUUAACAAACUGAAGAAUAAAAACCAUAUGAUCAUCUCAAUAGAUGCAGAAAAAGCUUUUGACAAAAUUCAACACCCAUGUAUGAUAAAAAUUCUCCAGAAAGUGGGCAUAGAGGGAACCUACCUCAACAAAAUAAAGGCCAUAUAUGACAAACUUACAGCUAACAUAAUGCUCAAUGGUGAAAAACUGGAAGUAUUUCCUCUAAGAUCAGGAACAAGACAAAGAUGUCCACUAUCACCACUUUUAUUCAACAUAGUUUUGGAAGUCCUAGCCACAGCAAUCCGAGAAGAAAAAGAAAUAAAGGGAAUCCAAAUUGGAAAAGAAGAAGUAAAACUGUCAGUGUCUGCAGGUGACAGAAAAUCCUAAAGAUGCUACUAGAAAACUACUAGACUCAUCAAUGAAUUCGGUAAUGCAGGAUAUAAAAUAUAGACAUAAAAGUCUAUUGCAUUUCUAUACACUAACAACAGUAGUUCAGAAAGAGAAAUUAAAGAAGUGAUCCCAUUUACCACCACAUCAGAAGAAUAAAACACCUAGGAAUAAGCCUACCUAAGGAGGCAAAAGAUAUGUACUCUGAAAACUUUAAUAUGCUGAUGAAAGAAAUCAAACACGACACAAACAGAUGGAAGGAUAUACCACGUUCUUGGAUUGGAAGAAUCAAAACUGUCAAAAUGACUAUACUACCCAAGUCAAUCUACAGAUUCAAUGCAAUCCCUAUCAAAUUACCAAUGGCAUUUUUCACACAACUAGAACAAAAAAUCUUAAAAUUUGUAUGGAGACACAAAAGACCCUGAAUAACCAAAGCAAUCUUGAGAAAGAAAAAUGGAGCUGGAAGAAUCAGGCUCCUGGACUUCAGAUUAUACUACAAAACUACAGUCAUGAAAAUAGUAUGGUACUGGCACAAAAACAGAAAUACAGAUCAAUGGAACAGGAUACAAAGUCCAGAGAUAAACCCAUGCACCUGUGCUCAAUUAAUCUGUGACCAAGAAGGCAAGGAUAUACAAUGGAGAAAAGACAGUCUCUUCAGUAAAUGGUGCUGGAAAUGUUGGACAGCUACAUGUAAAAAAAUGAAAUUAGAACAUUCUUCAAUACCAUACACAAAAAUCAAUUCAAACUGGAUUAAAGACCUAAAUAUAAGACCAACUACUAUCAAACUCUUGGAGAAAAAUAAAGGCAGAGCGCUCUUUGACAUAAAUCACAGCAAGAUCUUUUUUGAUCCCUCUCCUAGAGUAGUGGAAAUAUAAACAAAAAUAAACACAUGGGACCUAAUUAAACUCAAAGCUUUCUCACAGCAAAGGAAACCAGAAGGAAAACGAAAAGACCAUCCACAGAAAGGGAGAAAAUAUUUGCAAACGAUGCAACCGACAAGGGAUUAAUCUCUAAAAUUUACAAACAUCUCAUGUGGCUUAAUAUUAAAGAAAAAAUUUUAAAAAUGGGCAGAAGACCUAAAUAAACAUUUCUCCAAAGAAGACAUACAGAUGGUCAAAAAGCACACAAUAAGAUGCUCAACAUCGCUAAUUAUUAGAGAAAUGUAAAUCAAAACUACAGUGAGUAUCACCUCACAAUGGUCAGAAUGGCCAUCACCAAAAAGUCUACAAACAGUAAAUGCUGGAGAGGGUGUGGAGAAAAGAGAACCCUCAUAUGCUGUUGAUGGGAAUGUAAACUGGUACAGCCACUAUGGAGAACAUUAUGGAAGUUCCUUAAGAAACUAAAAAUAGAGCUACCAUAUGAUCUAACAAUCCCACUCUGGGUAUGUAUCUGGAGAAAACCAUGGUUCGAAAGGAUACAUGGACCCCAAUGUUCAUUGCAGCACUGUUUACAGUAGUCAGGACAUGGAAGCAGCCUAAAUGUCCAUCGACAGACAAAUGGAUAAAGAAUAUGUGGUACAUAUAUAUAUAUAUACAAUGGAAUAUUACUCAGCCAUUACAAAGAAUGAAAUAAUGGCAUUUGCAGAAACAUGGAUGGACCUGGAGACUAUCAUACUAAGGGAAAUAAGACAGACAAAGACAAAUAUCAUAUGAUACCGCUUAUAUGGGGAAUCUUAAAAAAAAUGAUACAAUUGAACUUAUUUACACAACAGAAACAGUCUCACAGACUUAGAGAAUGAACUUAUGGUUACUGGCGGGAAAGGAUGAGUGGGGAGGGAUCAAUAUGGAAUUUGGGAUUGACAUGUACACACUGCUAUAUUUAAAAUAGGUAACCAACAAGACCUACUGUAAUGCAAGGGAACUCUGCUCAAUACUCUGCAAUAACUUAAAUGGGAAAAGAAUUUGAAAAAGAAUAGAUACAUGUAUAUGUAUAACUGAAUCACUCUGCUGUACACUGAAAACUUACACAACAUUGUUAAUCAACUAUACUCCAAUAUAAAAUAAAAAUUAAAAAAAAUGGAAGGAUUAGGGCAUAAGAAUUCUGGAACCAUUAAAUCAGAUGAUAUGUAUCUUAAAAAGAGUCACUUUUUCCUUACAAUUAUUUACGAGUAGUUUAACAUGUUGUUGUUAAAUAAAAGACAAUUAAAGACUGAAGGGAAAAACUGCCCUAUACCACAAAAUGCACCAAGAAAAGGCAUGAUUUUUUUCUUGGAAACAUACAUUAUUUUCCCUAGGAUUAUUCCAAAUGAGCAAAAGAUGUCAUUACUUGAAUCAGGUCCUUCCAAAGUAUGCCAUACUAAAUCCUAUUGAAAAUUACAUUUCAAAUCAAAUCACUUAUAUAAGUCACACUGAAUAACAGACCAGAUAAGUUAUAGAUUAAUCAGAUCAGAUAAAAAGCCAUUGAUAGCUUUUCACAAUAAAAUUAUAAGAAGAUGACUAAGAAAUUGUGAGAGGCUAGGGUAGGUAUUACCUGGCUCUUGUAUAAAGACCUUAAAACAAACAUGCAUGGUUCUUUCAUUUAAAAAUCCAACCUUUUCCCCAAUAAGUAAUGUAAGGAAUUGAAAUUAUGUUUAAAAACUGACUUAUUUACAUAAAAACAAAACUUAAAGGGAAGCUAGCCUUCUUGUGGGACAAUUUCUAGGUGUUAUGUUUUGGCUGAAUUACUUAGUUGACUUUCUCUGGUCAGUAAGAUGUUGGCAAUAAAACAUGUCAAAAAGAAAUUGCCCAUUUAUUUCAUAUUCUGCAAUUCACUCAAAUUGGCGGCACUUUUUCUUUUUUUUAAACAUGAUAGAAAAAUCUAAUUCUUAAAUUAUCCUUCUUAUACCCAAGACGAUGUAAACAUAUUAUGUCACCUCAGAAAAGCAAUUCACAUAUUUGGAGUUUCUUUUUUAAAACAAGGAACAGUUGUUGAAAGUUCUGAAGUUUGAAUUUUAUAAAUCUCUGAUUAAAACUGAAAGUGUAUAGCCAUCCAUAACCACAGCAAAAAGUGAGGUAAAUUACUUUGUAUAAAGUGAGGCAGCACAGGGAUAAUAUUCAGAUAGGUAAGUAAAAGAAAAUCCUUUUCUUCCUGCUUCUCUCACACUUCAAAAGUAAAAUAAGUUUAAGAUAAACUGCAUUUAUAUCAUCAUUACCAUGAUUAAUUAUAUUUAAUCAUUUAAUGCAUGAAUCACAUCUUAAAGUUCUUUGGGUGCUAGAAAAUCUUAUUAAGUGUAAUUUGUAUAUAUCCUAGAAAAAUUAUUCAUGAAUUUCUUUUUUUAUAUCACACUUAUAGCCUUUCCAUUGGACUUUAUUCUAUUUUGAUAUAUAUCAAGAUAUAGAUCUAUCAUUUUGCUAAUUCACUACAUUUUACUUCAACAUUUCUGUUUUAAAUUUUAGAGAAAUGCAUUUGAAAACUCAUUUCAAAACUACCAUGGUAUUAAAAGUGAUAUACCAUGGAUCACCAAAGUGGAUUUUGCUUUCCUAUAUUUAUUUUACUAUUUUUUGAUAUUCACAUAUUCAAAAUUUAUAAUUAUUUACAUUAUAUGUAAUUGUUUACAUCUAGGAAAUCAUUACAAUAUUACUAGUUUUAUCAGAAAGAAUGAUAUCAAGAAUGCACUUAAUUUUGUUUAAUAAAAACAAUUAUUACUAACAAAUAAUAGCUAUGUAAGGAAAUAUAUGUCAUAAUUAAGUUGUGAGAAGAUUGGAAAGAAAUGCACUAAUGAGAUUAAGCUCUGUUUUAAUGCCUGCAGAUGGCUGCCAUUUUUUAAUAAUUCUAAUUUAAUGACUAUAAACAAACCAAGCAUAUUGAUUCUGCUUAAAAUUUUGUUCAAAGUGAAAAAAAAUUUGUAUCACAUACAGAGAACGUGAGGUAAUUU
Molecule: long non-coding RNA, 8636 nt
Organism: Orcinus orca (killer whale)
Lineage: Eukaryota; Metazoa; Chordata; Mammalia; Artiodactyla; Delphinidae
Exons: 5
Source: RefSeq, a predicted model, not a curated record